RNAcentral lists this transfer RNA (87 nucleotides) under Desulfovibrionaceae bacterium. RNAcentral's name for it is "tRNA-Leu". It matches the Rfam family "tRNA". Rfam says of the family: Transfer RNA (tRNA) molecules are approximately 80 nucleotides in length. Their secondary structure includes four short double-helical elements and three loops (D, anti-codon, and T loops). Further hydrogen bonds mediate the characteristic L-shaped molecular structure. tRNAs have two regions of fundamental functional importance: the anti-codon, which is responsible for specific mRNA codon recognition, and the 3' end, to which the tRNAs corresponding amino acid is attached (by aminoacyl-tRNA synthetases). tRNAs cope with the degeneracy of the genetic code in two manners: having more than one tRNA (with a specific anti-codon) for a particular amino acid; and 'wobble' base-pairing, i.e. permitting non-standard base-pairing at the 3rd anti-codon position. Lineage: Bacteria; Pseudomonadati; Thermodesulfobacteriota; Desulfovibrionia; Desulfovibrionales; Desulfovibrionaceae. The record is from RNAcentral.
GCCCGGGUGGCGGAAUUGGUAGACGCAAGGGACUUAAAAUCCCUCGGAGGCAACUCCGUGCCGGUUCGAUUCCGGCCCCGGGCACCA